GGCCAUAGGGUACCUUAUUGCCUUGGUGUCGUCUAUCGCCUUAAUAACACUGUCUAAAGCACAUACAAGUCAAUGCAAAAAAGCAUGAAACAUGAUGCAAAAUAAGAGAAUAUAAACAACUCUUCAACCUUCAAGUAUAGAAAAGAUAAGGAAUAAAAAAUGAAUAAGUUAAAAAAAAUAACUUCAAUUGUUAAUUAUACAGGAUAUAGUAAAGAGAGCAAGAGAGAGAUAAUAAUUAUGCAUUUGCCCUUCAAGUAAAACAAAAGUUACUUGCCUCUUCUAACCCCAAGCUGAUCCA
This 298-nucleotide unclassified non-coding RNA is filed under the name Hevea brasiliensis (rubber tree). The record is from RNAcentral. Lineage: Eukaryota; Viridiplantae; Streptophyta; Magnoliopsida; Malpighiales; Euphorbiaceae.